RNAcentral lists this ribosomal RNA (254 nucleotides) under uncultured bacterium. RNAcentral describes it as "partial 16S ribosomal RNA". It matches the Rfam family "Bacterial small subunit ribosomal RNA", at positions 524 to 776 of the family's 1533-position model. The record is from RNAcentral.
GACGUAGGGUCCAAGCGUUGUCCGGAUUUACUGGGCGUAAAGAGCGCGUAGGCGGCUCGUUAAGUGUGAAGUGAAAUCUCUAGGGCUCAACCCAGAAACUGCUUUACAUACUGGCGAGCUGGAGUGAUGAAGAGGUCUGUGGAAUUCCUGGUGUAGCGGUGAAAUGCGUAGAUAUGCGGAGGAACACCGAUGGCGAAGGCAAUCCCCUGGACCUGUACUGACGCUCAUGCACGAAAGCGUGGGGAGCAAACAGG